CCUACGGGUGGCAGCAGUGAGGAAUAUUGGUCAAUGGGCGCGAGCCUGAACCAGCCAAGUAGCGUGAAGGAUGACUGCCCUCCGGGUUGUAAACUCCUUUUAUACAGGAAUAAAGUGAGGCACGUGUGCCUUUUUGUAUGUACUUUAUGAAUAAGGAACGGCUAACGCCGUGCCAGCAGCCGCGGUAAUACGGAGGAUCCGAGCGUUAUCCGGAUUUAUAGGGUUUAAAGGGAGCGUAGAUGGGUUGUUAAGUCAGUUGUGAAAGUUUGCGGCUCAACCGUAAAAUUGCAAUUGAUACUGGCAGUCUUGAGUACAGUUGAGGGAGGCGGAAUUCGUGGGGUAGCGGUGGAAUGCUGAGAUAUGACGAAGAA
Molecule: ribosomal RNA, 371 nt
Filed under: uncultured bacterium
Lineage: Bacteria
Description: partial 16S ribosomal RNA
Rfam family: Bacterial small subunit ribosomal RNA
Source: RNAcentral